UGCUGGGGCUGCAGGUGCCUCUCCCCACCUCUCCCCUGCCAGGCUGCCUUUGAUCUCCAGCCUGUUUUGGCUCCACUGUCAACAGAGAGACCUGCUGGCAUGUUCUUUCCCUUCACCUUCAGGCCUCGAGCCUGGUUGGUCGAAAGACAUGGAAUUUCCACACCCUCACAGGUUGUGCAACUACCCUGCAGACACAUUUUACAUUUAAUUAUUGUUAUCAUUACUUUCAGCAGAGUGAACACUUGUAGAUUUAUUAGGUUUUUCGAUGGCCCACCCAUCUGAGUCAGUGACCUUUAGCAAUUGUGAUGGGAGAGAAAGGGAUGAGCUACAGAGUGGCUGGAUGACCAGGCUGAAAGCCGUCAUUCCUGGGCCUCUGUUUGGAGAAGCCUUCUUUGGAAGAAGCUGGGAGCCUGCUGGAAUUUGAACCCACAUCUAAGAGAUCUCAGUUCCCGGAUGGAUUUGUUCCAACCUGGUCUGCCCGCCUCUCUGUGGAAUAUCUCUCUGCUCUCUCUGCCUUUUGAAAUUAUUUCUCCAGGCUGGAUUUGGCUGCCUCUGCCACCAGUGAAUGGCGCACUGACCGCGCGGGUGAGCAUGGUGCCCCCUCCACCCCUCCUCCCAGGGCCCAGCUUUUCUGAAUUGCUGGCCAGUGUGGAGACCACCUGUUCAGCUGAUCCCCACUGCAGGCCCAAAGCACAGAGGAGACUGAGGCUCAGAGAGGUGAGGUGACCCACCUGCUGCCCUUAACAUACUAACAUUGGCCCUGGGGUCUGGCUUUGUACCCGACAUACCCCAAAUCCCUUCUUUCUGGGCCACCUGUUCUUGGUCUGUGUUAAAGGCACCUUUGCCAACCUGGUGAAAGCCAUAGGACCCUUCCUUGGAAAAAAAAUUGAAAAGAAUUUCAUGGGCUUCCAGAACAGGGCCAGGCAUAGAUUAAGAACUCUUUUCCUGCAUGUUUGCAGUAUAUGCAUGCGAUGUGGGAUUUAUAGUUAUACACUUUGUUUCAGAUAGCAUCUAACCAUGUAAUCCAUCCAUUGCUUCGAGAAAUAUUCAUUAAGCACCUACUACGUGAAAACCACUGUUCCAGGUGCUAGAGAUACUUUGUGAAGCUGACGUCCUGGGGUGGGAGGCGGGGUGGUGUGGAACAAAUGAUAAAAAGAGGCAAAGUCGUAGUGGUUAUUAGUGCUGUAAAUAAAUCACCCCAACCUUUUUGGCACCAGGGACCGGUUUUGUGGAAGGCAAUUUUUCCACGGACAGAGGGGGAGGUUUGGGGAUGAUUCAAGGGCCUUAUACUUACUGUGCACUUUAUUUCUGUUACUGUUACAUCAACUCCAUCUCAGCUCAUCAGGCGUUAGGUCCUGGAGGCCGGGGAGCCCUGCUCUAAAUGGUCCUAGUUCUCUGUCUUCUGGGCACACGGUAAGAUUCUGCUCCCUGGUCUUGUGGUUGGGUGAGACCACGCGGCUGGUUUGCCAGUGAAUUGCGAGACGUGAUGUUACUUCCGGGCCAGAGCAUUUAGUUGUUGAUGUGAGACCCCUCUCCCUAACCCGCCCCCAGAGCUUUCCCUCCCCUCUGAUGUGGAAACUGGACACAUUGCAGAUGGAGGUUGUGUAGUCAGCCUAGGUCCCUGAGACUCUAGAGCAGGACAGACAAGAUUUGUUUCUUUAAGUCACUGAAAUUUUGAGGGUCUUUGUUACUGUAACAUAACCCAGUCUAUUUUGAUUGAUACAAUAAUAAGUAUGUAAAUUACAUGAUGAAAUUAUAAAGAUUGCCAGGAGAUUAGAACCACAGGGAAAAGAAACUGCUGAGCAUGAUAAGUUGUAUUGCAAGGGGAAGGCAAGUGAACUUUAUUUUUUAAAUCAAUUAAUUGAGGGGGGGCCUGUGCUGCACAGCAUGUGCGAUCUUAGUUCCAUAACAAGUGAUUAAACCUGAACCCUUAAAAAAAAACCCUGAACCCCUGACGUAGAAACGCGGAUUCUUAACCACUAGGCUACCAGGGAAGUCCCCUGCGCCCCCCUUUUAAGCGGAACUUAAAAUAGGGCAAUCAAGUUAGGAGGCUUCAUUGAGAAAGAGAUCUUUGAAAAGGAAGUGAACCUUGCAGGUGUCUGGGAAGAAAAAAUGUGUCCCAGGCUGUUCCUGGGACAGCCAGGGGGAACAGCCAGGGUAAAGGCUGGAGCUGUUUGGUGGUUUGAGAAACAGCAAAGGAUCAUAUGAUUGGAGAAAAGUGUGGGGUGGGGUCCGAGAAGUACCAGGGCCUUCUUAGGGGGAGCCUUAUGGCCAUGAAGGACUUUGCCAUGUUCUUUGAGUGAAAGAGGGAGCCAUCACAGGGGCUUGAGCCCACAACCAUCAUGAUAGAAUGGACGAUUUCAAGGGGUCCAGCCUGGCAUCUGUGCCGAGACUGAAUGGGGAGGAGUCCUGCGGGGCAGGAUGGAGGGUGCCUAUGAAGGGGCUAUGCAUUUUUCAGGUGACAUCUGUUGGUGGCUCACGUGGGGUGGCGAGAGCAGAGGUGGCGAGAAGUGGUCAGAUGGUCAGAUCCUGGAUAUGUUUUGAAGACGGAACUCGUGCUAAGUCGCUUCAGUCGUGUCUGACUCUUUGCAACCCUAUGGACUAUAGCCCGCCAGGCUCCUCUGUCCGUGGGAUUCUCCGGGCAAGAAUGCUGGAGUGGGUUGCUGCGCCCUCCUCCAGGGGAUCUUCCUGACCCAGGGAUCAAACCCGCAUCUCAUGUCUCUUGCAUUGACAGGCAGGUUCUUUACCACUAGCACCAUCUUAGGCUGGUUAUAAAGAGAAACUCUGACGUGAAGCUUUAUAGCCAGGGCCAAUUCUAAGGGCUUUAGAUGAGAAUUAGGGAAAACCACAUGAUGAGUUUACUGUUACCUUUGAUGGUGUCUGGCUUCCCAGGUGGCUCAGACAGUAAAGAAUCUCCCUGCAAUGUGGGAGACCCAGGUUUGAUCCCUGGGUCGGGAAGAUCCCGUGGAGAAGGGAAUGGCAACCCACUCCAGUAUUCUUGCCUGGAGAAUCCCAAGGACAGAGGAGCCUGGUGGGCUACAGUCCCUAGGGUUGCACAGAGUCAGACACGACUGAGUGACUAAAACUUUCACUCUGACGGUGUCAGGGAGGUUAUUCUGUUCUGUUUUAGGAAUGCCAAGGACAUGAUCCAUUAUGUUAUGCAAUGCUCCUGCAUUCUGAUAAAUUUCAUCUUUUGCUAAGUCCUGGGAGAAGCUCUGCUUUCCUUGAGGAACUGAUGUACAUCUUCUCUCUCCAAAACAAAAAUCAUGAAAAGAUUGUCUCUUUUCUCUCCAGCUGCCAGGGAUCUCAAAGCCAAAUGUGAAACUCGACUUUAUUACCCACUUGGGCCUGUGAAGUUUGCAUAUUUGUUUUUUACUUUCCCUCCCCUUGGCUUCUUUCUUUUAAUUCCCAGGGUUAGUUUUUUAAAUUUUAACUUUAUCACGUGUUCUUGCUAGAGUUGCCUCUAAUCUAUAUGGAAUGAGGUGGAGUGUAAAAUAAAGAAAGGAAUGCAAUUGAAUAGCGUUGCUUUUUAAUAACAAUGCAACUCAUUUAUAAAUGAAAAAGAUAUUGAAAAUUUGUCUCUAAUUUCCUAUAUGCAGUCUUGAAUUCCAGCCGACUUUCACUAUAAAAUUGAAACUGUGUUCCUCAAGGAAAAAGAAUCCUAGUCCUGAAAUGUUAUAAAAAUCGCACGUUCAAUUGCAGAAAAUAUGUAAAGUCACAUAUCUUAAAGAAAGCAAGCUAUUGUAAGAUGCUGAGAACAGUAUUUGAAAUAAAUCACAGAAUACAAAUACAAAAUAACUGGAGUUGCUCUAAUGUUUUGUAUGUGGUCAGCCUCAUCCAACUCUUUUGCAAGCCCAAGGACUGUAACCUGCCAGGCUCCUCUGUCCAUGGAAUUUCCCAGGCUAGAAUACUGGAGAGGGUUGCCAUUUCCUUCUCCAGGGGAACCUCCUGACCCAGGGAUCAGAAUCUGCGUCUCUUUUAUUGGCUGGUGGAUUCUUUACCACUGAACCACCUGCGAGCCCUUUUAGGAUGAGGAUUUAAAGACUGCAGGAAAAAGAAUGGGUCUUCCAAAGAGGACAUGCUGUUUCGUGAGACUUUGCAGCUUACACUUUCUCUGGAAUUACUGAAGCAGGUUUCACAGAGCUCAGUUAGCCUUCACUUUGCCACAUACCUAUAACACCUGUCUUCUUAGCCUAUCAAUAUUGGUUCUUCAAAUCAAUCCCUUUAAUAAACUUAUUUAGAGAGGAAAUGAUCUAAGUAAUAUGUAGUGGGUAUGAAUUCAUGGGUUUGCUGUUUUCUUAA
Molecule: long non-coding RNA, 4302 nt
Organism: Bos taurus (domestic cattle)
Lineage: Eukaryota; Metazoa; Chordata; Mammalia; Artiodactyla; Bovidae
Source: Ensembl